UCCGUAGGCGGGCAAUUAAGUCAGAGGUGAAAUCCCACAGCUCAACUGUGGAACUGCCUUUGAUACUGGUUGUCUUGAGUUACAGUGAAGUAGAUAGAAUAUGUAGUGUAGCGGUGAAAUGCAUAGAUAUUACAUAGAAUACCGAUUGCGAAGGCAGUCUACUAACUAUAUACUGACGCUAAUGGACGAAAGCGUGGGGAGCGAACAGGAUUAGAUACCCUGGUAGUCC
RNAcentral lists this ribosomal RNA (229 nucleotides) under uncultured bacterium. RNAcentral describes it as "partial 16S ribosomal RNA". It matches the Rfam family "Bacterial small subunit ribosomal RNA", at positions 568 to 796 of the family's 1533-position model. The record is from RNAcentral.